This 68-nucleotide transfer RNA is filed under the name Athyma cama (orange staff sergeant). RNAcentral's name for it is "tRNA-Phe". Lineage: Eukaryota; Metazoa; Arthropoda; Insecta; Lepidoptera; Nymphalidae. The record is from RNAcentral.
AUUUAAAUAGCUUAAAAAGAGUAUAAUAUUGAAGAUAUUAGGGUGAUUGAUUAUAUAAUCUUUAAAUA